Molecule: microRNA precursor, 188 nt
Filed under: Oryza sativa Indica Group (long-grained rice)
Lineage: Eukaryota; Viridiplantae; Streptophyta; Magnoliopsida; Poales; Poaceae
Description: MIR812 microRNA precursor family
Rfam family: MIR812 microRNA precursor family
Source: Rfam by way of RNAcentral
AAUAAGUAUAGUUUUGUACUAUCCGUUCGUCUUAUUUGAAAUUUUUUUAUUAGUAUUUUUAUUACUAUUAAAUGAUAAAACAUAAAUAGUACUUUAUGUGUGACUAAAUAUUUUUAAAUUUUUCACAAAUUUUUCAAAUAAGACGAACGGUCAAACGUUGGGCACGGAUAUCCACAGCUGCACUUAUU